RNAcentral lists this ribosomal RNA (265 nucleotides) under uncultured bacterium. Its description in RNAcentral is "partial 16S ribosomal RNA". It matches the Rfam family "Bacterial small subunit ribosomal RNA", at positions 793 to 1055 of the family's 1533-position model. The record is from RNAcentral.
GUCCACGCCGUAACGAUGAUAACUAGGUGUUGGAAGAUUUGACCCUUUCAGCGCCGCAGCUAACGCAUUAAGUUAUCCGCCUGGGGAGUACGGUCGCAAGACUAAACUCAAAGGAAUUGACGGGGCCCGCACAAGCGGUGGAGUAUGUGGUUCAAUUCGACGCAACGCGAAGAACCUUACCUGGGUUAGAAAUCAACCGGAAGGUCUGUAGAGAUAUGGAUCGUCCCCGCAAGGGGACCGUUGACAGGUGCUGCAUGGCUGUCGU